GAUGAACGCUAGCGGCAGGCUUAACACAUGCAAGUCGAGGGGUAGAAGCAGCUUGCUGCUUUGAGACCGGCGCACGGGUGCGUAACGCGUAUGCAAUCUACCUUUUACAGAGGGAUAGCCCAGAGAAAUUUGGAUUAAUACCUCAUAGUAUGUGAGAAUCGCAUGGUUUUCACAUUAAAGUUCCAACGGUAAAAGAUGAGCAUGCGUCCCAUUAGCUAGAUGGUAAGGUAACGGCUUACCAUGGCGACGAUGGGUAGGGGUCCUGAGAGGGAGAUCCCCCACACUGGUACUGAGACACGGACCAGACUCCUACGGGAGGCAGCAGUGAGGAAUAUUGGACAAUGGUCGGAAGACUGAUCCAGCCAUGCCGCGUGAAGGAUGAAGGCGCUCAGCGUUGUAAACUCUUUUGUACGGGAGAAACAGCAGCUCUAACACAGUCUGCGAAUGACGGUACCUGAAGAAUAAGC
RNAcentral lists this ribosomal RNA (467 nucleotides) under uncultured bacterium. RNAcentral's name for it is "bacterial SSU rRNA". It matches the Rfam family "Bacterial small subunit ribosomal RNA", at positions 28 to 491 of the family's 1533-position model. The record is from RNAcentral.